Molecule: non-coding RNA, 2008 nt
Organism: Phalacrocorax carbo (great cormorant)
Lineage: Eukaryota; Metazoa; Chordata; Aves; Suliformes; Phalacrocoracidae
Source: RefSeq, a predicted model, not a curated record
UCUGGGCUGUUCCGGGGAGUGCUACAAGACCCGGCACGGCUGACAUAACCCUCAGGGCUGAUGUGACCCUUCGCUAGAGCUAAGGCGACGCUAUUCUCUCCAACAGUGCACACCGUAGCCUGGUGCUCUAGCUGGCUCCAGAGCAGUCCUUGAUGGAUUCCCCCAAGCCUCACUCAGCCUUGUAUUUGGAAGAAUACACUUCACACUUAAGCAAUGGGAUUUCGUCAUCUGUUUCACAGAUUGAGGAUUACAUUCGUACCAUAUCUCUACACAUUGCUGGCAAACCUGUGAGCCAGGAGCACUAGACAGGUACAACCACAGGCAAUCAGGGCUGGAUCUUCCUUCUUUUGUGUGUGUCUGGUUUCUAUUAAAGUAGCAUCAAUACCUGUCUGGCUGUGGUUUAAGAAACCAGCUAAUAUCUCUGCUCUACCAACACAGAAGUCACCUAGUAGCUGAAGCUUGGCCCUUAAAUAACAUGAGGUCUAGUCAAAGCUUUUCAAUUUUGCCGACCAUAUGGACACCAUGGGACGUCGGGCCCUGGAAGCAUCGCUCAGGCUGGCAACAGGGGAUGGAGGAGCGGGGCUGAGCUCUGCCCUGCCCUGCCAGGCUCUCAGCUGGCCUGCCCUACUCCAGGAGCUAUCCAUGGGCCAACCGCAGGAGAGAAAGUGCCAAAUCUGAAGUGAAUUACUUACUGUCUCCCUGGAGUGCAAAACUCAUAACGCUUUAUAGGCAUUUGACAAAACCCCAAACGCAGAGCUGCUGAGGAACCAGCCAACAUGGAGGGAGGCCAAGAGUAAAAGAACCAGAGAGAAGAUGUGUGCAGAGACGAGCUCCUGCAGUAAAGCCAGCAGUCUGAACUUAGACGGAUGCCGCUGUUCUGAGUUGUGAUAUAUUGUGCAUAUUUAGCUCCUAAUAACUUUUACAUUAACAGCAACAGCUUUUCUGACUAAAGCUUUGCUUUUGGAUUAUCAUUGCUAUAUUAACUCACAAUAUUCACGCUUCCUGCAUCAGACAAUAGUUACAGCCCCUUACAUACAAGAUGUUGAAAUGACUGGUCUUACAUAGCUACCUCCCUUACAACUGAAGAAAUUGUGAACAAGCAAUUUUUUUGUCAUGAUAACAGCUUUAUAAUGAAGUGACAAUGUUGCAGGGUAGCAAUCACAUUUUGCGGAUGAACGUGUGGAUAUGUAGUCUAAGGACAAGAAAUGAGGUCCUUGCUUAUAAUAGGAAAUGGAGUUGUUUGAAAUUUCACUUUCUGUUGAGCCUAAUUUGAGAGUUUAUUAACUCAUUAGGUCCAAUCCUCUCUGUUAGUCAUCUGGACCCUUUUCAUUAUUUUCAAUGGCGUUUAGAUCAAGAAAAAAAACAACCAAGUUGUGUGCUGUAUUCACUGAGUAAGUAGGGAUCAGAUUUCAGCAGAACAAUUUUACCUCUGGUAUAUCUGGACUUACAUAAUAAACUCUAGGGACUAUAUUUUAAUCAUAUUACAAGUCAUAUGACAUAAUGCAUGUCAUGGUAUAUCAUGGCAGAAGACAGUGCUACCAUAUGAUAUGCCUUUCUCCUUAUCCUUGUUAAAUGAUUCAUUCUUUUCUAAAGCUCUGCUAAGGUUCAUAACGCAUAGCAGAUUCCAAAAAUCAUCUGUGUUUUGCCUGGAAAACUCCCUCCAUUUAACAAAGUACGUGCAGUGCCAUUCAAUUUAUUGUAACAGCUCUAGAUAUAGUAUCAUGACCAUACAGUAGAAGGCCUGACUUCUAUUUAUUCUCUUCCAUUUGCUGUUUUUAUUGUGUUCCCCUCCCUAGACUGGAGUCACCAUCCCUGUGGGUAUUUAAAAGGUGUAGUUGUGGCAGUUCAGGGCAUGGUUUAGGAGACAUGGUAGUGUUGGGCUGGUGCUUGGACUUGAUGAUCCUAGAGGUCUUUUCCAACCUUAAUGGUUCUAUGAUAAUACCAGUCUUCUCAAGCCAUCUUUCAUCAUCUGUCUCCAAACUUCCCAGCCUUUUUUCUUCUUUUUUUU